CAGUAGCCGCGGUAACACGGAGGGUGCAAGCGUUAAUCGGAAUUACUGGGCGUAAAGCGCACGCAGGCGGUUUGUUAAGUCAGAUGUGAAAUCCCCGAGCUUAACUUGGGAACUGCGCUUGUGACUGCACAGCUAGAGUAUGGCAGAGGGGGGUGGAAUUCCACGUGUAGCAGUGAAAUGCGUAGAGAUGUGGAGGAACACCGAUGGCGAAGGCAGCCCCCUGGGCCAAUACUGACGCUCAUGCACGAAAGCGUGGGGAGCAAACAGGAUUAGAGACCCCUGUAGUCCCUGUCUCUUAUAC
Molecule: ribosomal RNA, 301 nt
Filed under: uncultured bacterium
Lineage: Bacteria
Description: partial 16S ribosomal RNA
Rfam family: Bacterial small subunit ribosomal RNA
Source: RNAcentral